Molecule: small RNA, 588 nt
Filed under: Pongo abelii (Sumatran orangutan)
Lineage: Eukaryota; Metazoa; Chordata; Mammalia; Primates; Hominidae
Description: retained intron
Source: RNAcentral
CUCAACAGCAACACCCAGGUGAGGGCAGUCUUGCUUGAAUAGCUAAUGAUUCUUGAAAAAUAGCAAGUGCCGGGGAACCAAAUUCUGGAUUCUUGUCUUGAGCCUUUUUAUGCAUCCGCUUCAGUUUUAGGUGUGGCAAGGGAAGGGAGCAGGCUUUGGGAAGGAACCACUGCUCUUAAGCCUGGCCUUUUUUUCCACUAGGUAGUUUUGCUGUCAGCCACGAUGCCUUCUGAUGUGCUUGAGGUGACCAAGAAGUUCAUGAGGGACCCCAUUCGGAUUCUUGUCAAGAAGGAAGAGUUGACCCUGGAGGGUAUCCGCCAAUUCUACAUCAACGUGGAACGAGAGGAGUGGAAGCUGGACACACUAUGUGACUUGUAUGAAACCCUGACCAUCACCCAGGCAGUCAUCUUCAUCAACACCCGGAGGAAGGUGGACUGGCUCACCGAGAAGAUGCAUGCUCGAGAUUUCACUGUAUCUGCCAUGCAUGGAGAUAUGGACCAAAAGGAACGAGACGUGAUCAUGAGGGAGUUUCGUUCUGGCUCUAGCAGAGUUUUGAUUACCACUGACCUGCUGGUGAGUAGAGGGAAC